GUCAGUCCCCUGUGUCUUCGGAACUGUAAGGGCAUGUGUGACGCGCAGUGUUGUCCAACGUUGAACGCUAUUCUUUGCACGCUUGUACAUCCGGUGAAAGGUAAACUAAGCGGAAAUCAAUAGGAAAACACACGAGAAACUACAUCUAAAAUUGAACUACAGCAAGGCAACCCGCCCAGCUCUCCAGGCUCUUCGAACACCAUAACCGGAAACAUCGAUCGAAUCGGAUGUUUAUUGACACCGUUGCACAUUCUCGGGAAAUUGGGUUCGAUCGGACUGGAAGAAAAAGUGAAUGUAAAUUAUGUUUAUUUGUCGUCAUGUUUCUUUGCUCUUCAAUCAAUACCAUGUCCUCAGCGCGUUCCAUCUUCGAAUAAUGGGCGUAUUGGUUCGGCGGGCAGCCAAAUAAUCAUAAGGGCCACUAUGCGCCACCGACGAUAUGCGCAUUGAUGUUUGCUUUUUAAAGAAAAGAUUUACCACAGAAUGAAUGAAAAUGGUAUCCUGCAUAAACAUUCAGCAUCGUACGACAACUCUACAUUGCAAAGCAUCAUGAGCAUCGGAACUUAUUGGACACGGAACUAUCCUUAACGAAAUUGCCACAUAGCCCCGAAACUUAGUGCUAGAUGACGCUCGAAAAUCCCGAAGCCUGGCCAGGAUCGCUGGUAUAAUAUAGUCACCAGCCUGUGUUUACCGUGUUUAAGUGUUUACCGAACAUGGUUGUUGUUUGCACUUGUUGCUUUUUAUAAAUAGGCGCAGUGGACCUUUGAUCAUGAACCGGCCGUGCUCGUUCAUUCAUAAAAUUGCUCUUCAGCUCGUUGGAUAUUGAUGUACUGGGGUAGAGUGCGUGUGUGCUUUGUGUUUGAAAAGUACCGAAACAGUUUGUGCAAAUAUUUACAGAUCAGUCUUAAGACAGCGUAUGUUUGUAGAACUAUCAGUGUAGGCCGGAAAGAUGUCACAGUAAGCAUGGCAAUUUACCUGAUAUACAUGAAUGAAUACCAACUAAUUUUAGUUCAUAUAAUAUGAUUAAAUUACUUUUUAAGCAAUACGGCAAAGCCAUCCGUCCUGAAUAAAAAAAUGGUUAAAUUAGGACACAAAAAA
This is a long non-coding RNA of Anopheles gambiae (African malaria mosquito), 1095 nucleotides long. RefSeq lists it as uncharacterized. NCBI's taxonomy places the organism in Eukaryota, Metazoa, Arthropoda, Insecta, Diptera, Culicidae. The transcript is spliced from 2 exons. The record is from RefSeq and is a predicted model, not a curated record.